This 253-nucleotide ribosomal RNA is filed under the name uncultured bacterium. RNAcentral's name for it is "partial 16S ribosomal RNA". It matches the Rfam family "Bacterial small subunit ribosomal RNA", at positions 524 to 776 of the family's 1533-position model. The record is from RNAcentral.
UACGUAGGGGGCAAGCGUUGUCCGGAUUUAUUGGGCGUAAAGCGCGUGUAGGCGGCCAGGUAGGUCGGUUGUGAAAAUUGGAGGCUCAACCUCCAGACGUCGAUCGAAACCAUCUGGCUAGAGUCCGGAAGAGGAGAGUGGAAUUCCUGGUGUAGCGGUGAAAUGCGCAGAUAUCAGGAAGAACACCCGUGGCGAAAGCGGCUCUCUGGGACGGUACUGACGCUGAGACGCGAAAGCGUGGGGAGCGAACAGG